GAGACACCCUUAUGGAGUAGGACUUGCUUCAGUGGGGCUUUGGUGCUCACUGCGUCUGCCCCUUGAGUGUGUCGCU
Non-coding RNA from Myotis brandtii (Brandt's bat), 76 nucleotides. The record is from Rfam. NCBI's taxonomy places the organism in Eukaryota, Metazoa, Chordata, Mammalia, Chiroptera, Vespertilionidae.